RNAcentral lists this transfer RNA (72 nucleotides) under Enhygromyxa salina. It matches the Rfam family "tRNA". From Rfam's summary of the family: Transfer RNA (tRNA) molecules are approximately 80 nucleotides in length. Their secondary structure includes four short double-helical elements and three loops (D, anti-codon, and T loops). The record is from Rfam by way of RNAcentral. Lineage: Bacteria; Pseudomonadati; Myxococcota; Nannocystales; Nannocystaceae.
CGGCCAGUCGUUCAACGGUGAGAACACUCGUCUGAUGAGCGAGAAAUGCCGGUUCGACUCCGGUCUGGCCCA